Molecule: non-coding RNA, 30 nt
Filed under: Cricetulus griseus (Chinese hamster)
Lineage: Eukaryota; Metazoa; Chordata; Mammalia; Rodentia; Cricetidae
Source: RNAcentral
AAAGUACGGCGAGGUUGAGGAGAUGAAUGU